UUGACCUCAAAUCAGGUAGGACUACCCGCUGAACUUAAGCAUAUCAAUAAGCGGAGGAAAAGAAACUAACAAGGAUUCCCCUAGUAACUGCGAGUGAAGCGGGAAAAGCUCAAAUUUGAAAUCUGGCGGUCCUUGACUGUCCGAGUUGUAAUCUAGAGAAGUGUUACCUGUGCUGGACCGUGUACAAGUCUCCUGGAAUGGAGCAUCACAGAGGGUGAGAAUCCCGUCUUUGACACGGACUGCCUGUACAUUAUGGUGCGCUCUCAAAGAGUCGAGUUGUUUGGGAAUGCAGCUCAAAAUGGGUGGUAAAUGCCAUCUAAAGCUAAAUAUUGGCGAGAGACCGAUAGCGAACAAGUACCGUGAGGGAAAGAUGAAAAGAACUUUGGAAAGAGAGUUAAACAGUACGUGAAAUUGCUGAAAGGGAAACGCUUGAAGUCAGUCGCGUCGGCUAGAAAUCAGCCUUGCUUUUGCUUGGUGUACUUUCUGGUUGACGGGUCAGCAUCAAUUUUGACCAUUGGAUAAAGUCGUUGGGAAUGUGGCAUCUUCGGAUGUGUUAUAGCCCUAUGUCGCAUACAGUGGUUGGGAUUGAGGAACUCAGCACGCCGCAAGGCCGGGUUUCGACCACGUUCGUGCUCAGGAUGCUGGCAUAAUGGCUUUAAUCGACCCGUC
This 669-nucleotide ribosomal RNA is filed under the name Pseudosperma rimosum. Its description in RNAcentral is "eukaryotic LSU rRNA". It matches the Rfam family "Eukaryotic large subunit ribosomal RNA", at positions 1 to 653 of the family's 3401-position model. The record is from RNAcentral. Lineage: Eukaryota; Fungi; Basidiomycota; Agaricomycetes; Agaricales; Inocybaceae.